This is a long non-coding RNA of Bombyx mori (domestic silkworm), 1697 nucleotides long. RefSeq lists it as uncharacterized. Lineage: Eukaryota; Metazoa; Arthropoda; Insecta; Lepidoptera; Bombycidae. The record is from RefSeq and is a predicted model, not a curated record. The transcript is spliced from 3 exons.
AUUUCAUAAUGGUUUGGUUUGUUCGAACGAAGUUCCUUAUGGGACGAUGCGGAGGGGCACCCUAACCGGGAAAAAACGUCCGUAACGUAAGAUUUUUAUUAGUAUUGCACACAGUUUACGACUUAACUUUGUAAUAACUUACAAAAAAUAACAUAUUUCUUUAUCAUUCAUUGACCACGAUCUCAGAGCGUUCGUUUGCGCAAUACACUAACUCUUAUGCAAACAACCGUAAAUGAAGUGCACCACAAUAAGUUCGCACGAUACCGCAUGCAUGACUGUGGGUUGUUGCGAAACCUCCAGUUUUAUUUUCUUUAUUCCUCGAAUAGAACUUAAAAUUAAUAUCUUUAUAAUAAGGAUCUUAUUUCUUAUCCGGUGUCCUACGUCACCACACAUCUUUUUUUAACCCUUUGAAUGUCAUGUAAGUCACCUGUUCCCGACGUGGCGCACUGAAGUUAUUAUGUGCAUUUCGAUUAUAUCGUGAACAUAAUUACUUCUGUGCGCCGCGCAGAAUCUACCACCAGAUCGGAAACACGACCCACUGAGAAGAUCCGGCGAGAAACUCAGUAGGCUGUGUCUAUGCGUUAAUUUACUCGUCGAGCCCUUCGUCGCAAGCGACGGGUUCGACGAGAACGAUGAUCGGUGCUUGAGGUAUCUAAAAGCACCGUUAGUGGAUCGGGAAGAUCCGUAAUGACGUGUAAGAUUUACGGCCGUUUUCAAUAACCUAUCUAUCCCUAGUUUCGGUUACUAAAGAUAGACAAAUCUAUAUUUUUGUCCUUACUUACGUUCCAAUAACCUAUCGAUGGGCAGCAGUUCCUAUCGGAUUUAUCUAUCCAUCGUCGGGAGGACGGAUAGCCUGCUAAAGAUAGAACGCUCAUACAAAUCGUGCUUACUUCCGUUUCAAUAUGAGUUUUAAGUAACUCUCCGGUAGGCGGCGCUAUCUCUAGUAUGGGCAUUCGCUUAUCUGUCAAAAUCGGCCGGUUACAUGUUUAUCUUUCGAAAGUAAAUCGCUAUAAUUUAAUAAUUGUUUCUCUUCAUAUUGGCAUAUUGUAGCAGUGAUGAUAGUGAUAUGGAAUUAUUUCAAAUGAUAAUGGAUUGUGAUGCAGAUAGUGAUAGUGAGGCCGAUAUCAUAUGGUUAGGAAAAUAAAGAUCGUCUGAAUUACAUGGCGAAGAUCAAUAAUUACGAAUUUGACUACAGAUUUCUGAGCAAAGGUGUUGUGAAUGAAUUGAUUAAUUUAAUGAGACCAUAUUUGAGUGUAACGUCAAAAAGAUUCAAAUAUAGGAGAGGAAUUUAGAAAUAGAAAAAGAGUAUUUUGAAUGUGUAAUUUGUGUGCAAUGCAUCAUUGAUGUUUCAAAAUGUUGUUGCUUGAUGGCCUGGGUCUACUCAUGAUACAACUAUAAUUAACCAUUCCGAUUGAAAAGAUGCAUUGGUGUUUGUGAAAGAAGACUCCCUGUAUAUCAUUGAAAAGUAGAUUAAAACUAGAAAAUAUGCAAGCUGUUAUUAUAGCUGCCAUGCUGCAUAAUAUCGUCAGAAGUAUGAAUUUAGAAGAAUUAGAAUCAGAAAUUUCAGUCGCAGAUACAUUACAGGAAAAUAAUAUAAUUGUUCGUAACAAUUUUUCAAAACUUACAUCUGAAAUACAACUAUGUACUCAUAAAUAAUUGCUUCCAAAGAUAAUUUAUAAAAUAAACUCCAAAGAUAA